UCAGUCGACUCCUACGGGGAGGCAGCAGUGGGGAAUAUUGCACAAUGGGGGAAACCCUGAUGCAGCCAUGCCGCGUGUGUGAAGAAGGCCUUCGGGUUGUAAAGUACUUUCAGCAGUGAGGAAGGUGGGUAUGGUUAAUAGCAUAUUCAUUUGACGUUAGCUGCAGAAGAAGCACCGGCUAACUCCGUGCCAGCAGCCGCGGUAAUACGGAGGGUGCGAGCGUUAAUCGGAAUUACUGGGCGUAAAGCGCAUGCAGGUGGUUUGUUAAGUCAGAUGUGAAAGACCCGGGGCUCAACCUCGGAAUUGCAUUUGAAACUGGCAAACUAGAGUACUGUAGAGGGGGGUAGGAAUUUCAGGUGUAGCGGUGAAAUGCGUAGAGAUCUGAAGGAAUACCGGUGGCGAAGGCGGCCCCCUGGACAGAUACUGACACUCAGAUGCGAAAGCGUGGGGAGCAAACAGGAUUAGAUACCCUGGUAG
This 477-nucleotide ribosomal RNA is filed under the name uncultured bacterium. RNAcentral describes it as "bacterial SSU rRNA". It matches the Rfam family "Bacterial small subunit ribosomal RNA", at positions 328 to 793 of the family's 1533-position model. The record is from RNAcentral.